CCUACGGGUGGCAGCAGUGAGGAAUAUUGGUCAAUGGACGGAAGUCUGAACCAGCCAUGCCGCGUGCAGGAAGAAGGCUCUAUGAGUUGUAAACUGCUUUUGUACAAGAGUAAACCUGAAUACGUGUAUUUAGCUGAAAGUACUGUACGAAUAAGGAUCGGCUAACUCCGUGCCAGCAGCCGCGGUAAUACGGAGGAUCCAAGCGUUAUCCGGAUUUAUUGGGUUUAAAGGGUGCGUAGGCGGUUUCUUAAGUUAGAGGUGAAAGUUGCGGGCUUAACUCGGGAAUUGCCUCUAAUACUGUUGGUCUCGAGAGUAGAUGCGGUAGGCGGAAUGUAUGGUGUAGCGGUGAAAUGCUUAGAGAUCAUACAGAACACCGAUUGCGAAGGCAGCUUACCAAUCUAUAUCUGACGUUGAGGCACGAAAGCGUGGGGAUCAAACAGGAUUAGAUACCCUUGUAGUC
RNAcentral lists this ribosomal RNA (460 nucleotides) under uncultured bacterium. Its description in RNAcentral is "partial 16S ribosomal RNA". It matches the Rfam family "Bacterial small subunit ribosomal RNA", at positions 338 to 795 of the family's 1533-position model. The record is from RNAcentral.